Phyllostomus discolor (pale spear-nosed bat) is the source of this 663-nucleotide long non-coding RNA. RefSeq lists it as uncharacterized. NCBI's taxonomy places the organism in Eukaryota, Metazoa, Chordata, Mammalia, Chiroptera, Phyllostomidae. The record is from RefSeq and is a predicted model, not a curated record. The transcript is spliced from 2 exons.
AACUGGACACACCUGGAUGUCCAUCAACAGAUGAAUAGAUAAACUGGGAUUGCACUGUAUUUAUGCAAUCAAAUACUACUCCACAAUAAAAGGGAUGUCAAUACAUGAAACAACAUGUAUCUCAAAAUAUAUCUCGGAAUAAUUAUGCAAAGUGAGAGAAGUCAGACCAAACAACAGUACAAACUAUAUGAUUCCAUUUGUAUAAAUUCUAGACAAUGCAAGCUAAUCCAUGAUGAUAGAAAUCAGAUCAGUGGUUUCUUGGGUCAGGGGCUACAAGGAGGUAGAGAGAUAGGAAUUAUAAGGAAACUUUUGGGGGUGACGGAUAAGUUCAUUACCUUGUGUUGAUGGUUUCACAGGAAUAUACAUGUGUCAAAACAUCAAAUUGUACAUUUAAAAAAUGUGCAGUUUAUUGUAUACAAAUUAUAUCUUAACAAAGCUGUGCCUGUUUUUUGACCAACUAAUUUUAUUUUUAAAAUGAUACACAAGGAAAUCCAAUAUGGCACAGUUACACAAAUUAUCAUACAGCCACAUGUUGUAAUACUAUGCAACCUUAAAAUCAUGAUUUUGAAGAAUGUUAAAUAAUAUGAGAAUAUGCUCAAAAUACAUUAAGUGAAAAAGGAGAAUAUAAACAACUGUAUAAUAUCAAUUAUUGAUAUAAUCUGA